Molecule: ribosomal RNA, 465 nt
Filed under: Vreelandella stevensii
Lineage: Bacteria; Pseudomonadati; Pseudomonadota; Gammaproteobacteria; Oceanospirillales; Halomonadaceae
Description: partial 16S ribosomal RNA
Rfam family: Bacterial small subunit ribosomal RNA
Source: RNAcentral
CCUACGGGCGGCAGCAGUGGGGAAUAUUGGACAAUGGGCGAAAGCCUGAUCCAGCCAUGCCGCGUGUGUGAAGAAGGCCUUCGGGUUGUAAAGCACUUUCAGUGGGGAAGAAAGCCUUGGGGCUAAUACCCUCGAGGAAGGACAUCACCCACAGAAGAAGCACCGGCUAACUCCGUGCCAGCAGCCGCGGUAAUACGGAGGGUGCGAGCGUUAAUCGGAAUUACUGGGCGUAAAGCGCGCGUAGGCGGUCUGAUAAGCCGGUUGUGAAAGCCCCGGGCUCAACCUGGGAACGGCAUCCGGAACUGUCAGGCUAGAGUGCAGGAGAGGAAGGUAGAAUUCCCGGUGUAGUGGUGAAAUGCGUAGAGAUCGGGAGGAAUACCAGUGGCGAAGGCGGCCUUCUGGACUGACACUGACGCUGAGGUGCGAAAGCGUGGGUAGCAAACAGGAUUAGAUACCCCAGUAGUC